UAUUCUCUGCGGUGCGCGUGAUUUUAAAAUCUAUUCUUGAACCAACAAAAGAAUAGAGAGCGACACGUAAAGAUGGCAGUGUGCAAGCCCUUAAACAUGACAGUGUAAAAACUGCCGGGGAAGCCUAAUGUCAUGGAAAGAAGUUGCUCUACUGGUUAGCCAGGUUCAAGCAAAUUUUUAAACACGGCAUUGCGGAGAAAUU
RNAcentral lists this non-coding RNA (202 nucleotides) under Candidatus Schekmanbacteria bacterium GWA2_38_9. Its description in RNAcentral is "6S RNA". It matches the Rfam family "6S / SsrS RNA". From Rfam's summary of the family: E. coli 6S RNA was the first non coding RNA to be sequenced, but its function was unknown until recently. It consists of 184 nucleotides that fold into an extended hairpin structure with a large single-stranded internal bulge. The 6S RNA specifically associates with RNA polymerase holoenzyme containing the sigma70 specificity factor. The record is from RNAcentral. RNAcentral also lists the same sequence under 3 other names. Lineage: Bacteria; Candidatus Schekmaniibacteriota.